Chelonoidis abingdonii (Abingdon island giant tortoise) is the source of this 2297-nucleotide RNA transcript. It is a transcript of the gene named C-type lectin domain family 2 member D-like, with no coding region annotated. The record is from RefSeq and is a predicted model, not a curated record. NCBI's taxonomy places the organism in Eukaryota, Metazoa, Chordata, Testudines, Testudinidae.
AGAGCAGGGAGGUGCUAUCUGGGAGAAGCCGCCCCUGCUAUCCGCAGCCUUUCCUGCGAGAGCCCUGGCACGCAAGUGAAAGUGAAAGGGGGAACUGGAUCAUUCAGGAAGCGCGACGCCUCCUAGGCCUCUUCGCAGCUGGGAUGGAGCCUGCAGGGGCACAGAGGGAAGAAGCAGGGGGCAUUUCGCCUCGGUCUAUGUCAGGAGCCGCUGGGGACCUGCUCGGGGAACAAGGGGAGAGAGCGCCGCUAACAAGCACAACACCCCCGGGAACCCCGAAAGAUCGCAGCUCGCCCUGCACUCAGCGGGCACCCGGCAGUGAGCCCCAAGUUCGCAGCGCGUCGGGAGACCGGAGUCCCGUGUGUGAUCCUGUAACGGGGAGCCCUUCGUUACCGUCUAAUGCAACUUUCUGGACACGGACGCUGUCGGGAUGCCGGGAAUUCUUCAGUCGAGUGAAGGAAGCUGUGUCCAGGCUUUUCUCACGCCAGAAUCGCAUCGCUGGAACUGUUUCCGUUGCUGUUGUGAUUUUGAUAUUGGUCCUGGUAAUUUUCCUGAUUGUAUGGCAUUUCUCCUAUAAAGAACCUCCCAUUACCCUGGCCUCUGACCCAUGCCCUGAGGACUGGCUGUACUUCAAAAGGAAAUGUUAUUACCUCUCAGAGAAGGAGGAGGACUGGGAUUCCAGUCAGAGCUUCUGUUCCCUUUAUGAAGCUUCACUUGCUGUGAUUGAAAACCACCAAGAAAUGCAUUUCCUCACUAAGCGUAUGCACAUGCAAGACUCCUGGAUUGGACUGCGCAAGCGAGAAGAAGGCUUCUACUGGGUCAAUGGCAUUCCACUUACAACGGACAUGUGUACAUGCUCUGCAUGCACCGUUGCUGGAAGAUUUUUCCUUUAAGUGGUAUCCAGUGGGUCAGUUCCGGCGCCACUGGAGUUGCGCCCUCAUGGCGCUGUGUAUAGGAGCCUGCAGACCUGCCAUCCCCUCAGUUCCUGCUUUCUGCUUGUGAUGCUUGCUGGAACUGCUCCUUCUUGCUCUGCAGGUUUCACAUUCAGGAUCAUGAAGAAUGUGCUUACACAGAUUCAUCUAGUAUCUCUACAUCAGCAUGUUCUUUACCCAGGCACUGGAUCUGCAGCCGCCAUCCCUUCAAGUGAACAGUGCAAGGGGAUCUUUAACAACCAAAAGUGGGCCAGAGUUGUACCAUCACUUCAAAAAAGUGGCACUUCUAGCCCCACAGCACCAGGGGUGAAAGUAACAUAAAACUCUUACCAGUAUGGGGGCCCGGCUCCAGGCCCCUGGAAGGGGCAGGGCUUCAGGUGCAAGGGGCGGGGCUAGGGGGGUCAGCCUUCCCCAGCCAGCCCUUCCAUGCUGCCCGGCCCACACCACCCAGGACUCCGGCAGCAGUUUAAAGGGCCUGGGGCUCUGGCCACUUCUGCAGCAGUGGCAGCAGCCGGGAGCCCCGGGCCCUUUUAAAUCACCGGGCCCCGGGGCAGCUGCCCCUUUUGCCCCCCAGUCAGCAGCCCUAGGGGGGGGCAAAAUGGAUAGUACUGUCCCACUUUCACUUCUGCACAGCACGCUCUAACAUCUACUGACUCGCAAACACUACUCCCUGCAACACCCCAUCCCUUCAUGUUAUACUGGGGCUUUGGUGUUAACACUGACUCACAAGAAAAGUUCCCACCACUGAGUUGCUCAUACCAUUCCUUGAAGCACAGCACCACCUAGAUCCAUAAUAUGAUCAGGAAUGAUUCAGAGAGAAGAGUAGCCCUUACUGAGUUACAAACAAUUUCCUGCUGCACCUGGGUUUUUCUUGUAGCUCUUCCAUCAACAUACUAACCAGACCAGUUUCUCCGAAGCUUCUGUAAGCUCCGAUAAGUUCAUUAACUGAGACAGCAUUGUAAGCAGGAACUCGGAAACAAGAAAAUGCUAUAGUUCCUCUCACUUUGAAGGUGGUAUGGGCUAAUGCUACCAGGAAUGCUACCAGAAAUCACUCAGAGGAUGUAAUCUAAACAGACAACUCACAAUGUGUGCUGUGGGAGAUACCAAGAAAGUGGUUUUUGACCUGGUGAGAGUUGAGCUUUGUAUCAUUUAUUAAUAUUUAACUUUUUUAAAAAAAAUCUUUGUUUUUAAAGAAAUCUUUGUUACUAAGCUUUCAAGAUACAGCAGCUUGGUCCUGCUUUGAGUAGAGGGUUGGACUAGAUGACCUCCUGAGGUCCCUUCCAACCCUGAUAUUCUAUGACUCUAUGAAUGGUGCUGUUGUGCUGGAAGAUGUUAAUGGCUGAAAUCAAUCACAAACCUAGUUAA